This 1512-nucleotide ribosomal RNA is filed under the name metagenome. RNAcentral's name for it is "bacterial LSU rRNA". It matches the Rfam family "Bacterial large subunit ribosomal RNA", at positions 1389 to 2925 of the family's 2925-position model. The record is from RNAcentral.
GCCUAAGGCGAGGUCGAAAGACGUAGUCGAUGGAUAACAGGUUGAAAUUCCUGUACUAUCCUGUAACAGAACUGUGGGGACACAGGCAGAGAGCGUGAGCCGGGAAUGGAAAGACCGGUACAAGCGAGGUAGGAGAAGAGUUGGCAAAUCCGCUCUUUAAUCUGAAGACGUGAUGUGGACUGAAAAUAAGUAGGGAAGCACGUGAGCUGACUGUCAAGAAAAGCCGCUAUUGUUUGCAGGAUACCCGUACCGUAAACCGACACAGGUGGAUGAGGAGAGAAUCCUAAGGCCGACGGGAGAAGCAUUGUUAAGGAACUCGGCAAAAUGACUCCGUAACUUCGGGAGAAGGAGUGCCAGUAAGAUGGCCGCAGAGAAUUGGCCCAAGCAACUGUUUAGCAAAAACACAGGUCUAUGCAAAACCGAAAGGUGAGGUAUAUGGGCUGACGCCUGCCCGGUGCUGGGAGGUUAAGGGGAGAGGUUAGCGCAAGCGAAGCUUUGAACUUAAGCCCCAGUAAACGGCGGCCGUAACGAUAACGGUCCUAAGGUAGCGAAAUUCCUUGUCGGGUAAGUUCCGACCCGCACGAAAGGCGUAAUGAUUUGGGCACUGUCUCAACAAUGCACCCGGUGAAAUUGAAAUACCAGUGAAGAUGCUGGUUACCUGCGCCAGGACGGAAAGACCCCAUGGAGCUUUACUCCAGCUUGAUACUGGGAUUCGGUAUUGCAUGUACAGGAUAGGUGGGAGGCUAGGAAAUGGUAACGCCAGUUGCCAUGGAGCCAAUGUUGGGAUACCACCCUUGCAGUACUGGGUUUCUAACCAGCAGCCGUGAUCCGGCUGGGGGACAAUGUCAGGUGGGGAGUUUGACUGGGGCGGUCGCCUCCGAAAGGGUAUCGGAGGCGCUCAAAGGUUCCCUCAGAAUGGUUGGAAACCAUUCGAAGAGUGCAAAGGCAGAAGGGAGCUUGACUGCGACACCGACGGGUGGAGCAGGUACGAAAGUAGGACUUAGUGAUCCGGUGGUAUAAAGUGGGAUUGCCAUCGCUCAACGGAUAAAAGCUACCCUGGGAUAACAGGCUUAUCACUCCCAAGAGUUCACAUCGACGGAGUGGUUUGGCACCUCGAUGUCGGCUCAUCGCAUCCUGGGGCUGAAGUAGGUCCCAAGGGUUGGGCUGUUCGCCCAUUAAAGCGGUACGCGAGCUGGGUUCAGAACGUCGUGAGACAGUUCGGUCCCUAUCCGGCGUGGGCGUAAGAUAUUUGAGAGGAGCUGUCCUUAGUACGAGAGGACCGGGAUGGACUGGCCGCUGGUGUAUCUGUUGUCUUACCAAAGGCAUAGCAGAGUAGCCAAGCCGGGAGGGGAUAAACGCUGAAGGCAUCUAAGCGUGAAGCCCCCCUCAAGAUGAGAUAUCUCAUAACGUCAAGUUAGUAAGACCCCUUGAAGACGACGAGGUAGAUAGGGCAGAGGUGGAAGUGUGGUAACACAUGGAGCUGACUGUUACUAAUAGGUCGAGGGCAUAAAC